Taeniopygia guttata (zebra finch) is the source of this 4725-nucleotide non-coding RNA. The record is from RefSeq and is a predicted model, not a curated record. NCBI's taxonomy places the organism in Eukaryota, Metazoa, Chordata, Aves, Passeriformes, Estrildidae.
GCACUUUGAGAGAUAUCACCAAUUCUCUACACUGCAUGAUAACUUGUAAAAUGUUUACUUCUUUAAACUUUUAUUGAGCUGCUGGUUGUUUGUUUCUUUUUUUUUUUUUUUUUUUUUUUUUUAGGAAACUAUCAACAGAAGGACAUGAAAAUACAGUUUAAAUUAUUUUUUCAUAUAAAUGGGUUUUGAAUGUAGUAGUAACUUCCUGGGAAACAAGAAGGCUUAAGGAGUUAUCAUGAACAAUGCAGUCAAUGUCUCUUCUGGGUGUUUAACAGAAAAAAGAACUUGUUCAGCUGUACACGAGAAAUUCUUAUAUGAGACUGCUAGAGUAAGAGGAAAGGACCUUUCUCAGAGGCAGAGAUUGCAGAUAACGUCAUGCUGAAGAGACAGGAUGCAAAGCACAAAGCUUCCGGGGUACCCACGGGGCACCACGAGAAACUUGGCAGGCUGCAUGAUUAAGAUCAGUCAAGAACACAACUGUGGAGAUCUCAACCACUGGGACCAUUGCUGUGCACUGAGAUAACCAAAAAAGGUAGAGACUGAAAGAAGACAGUGUGAUUUGAAAUUAAUCAAGAUGUAACAACUCCCUUCUGUAGGCUGUGGUUGGGAAUUCUCAGCUGAGCUGAGUGUGCCAAUGGCUGAUUCACAACUGCUGGCUUGUUCCUUCCCUGACCUAACGCUGUGCUCUUCUCACAGCUGCUGAGCUGCUGAUAAAUCCUCUGAAGUCUAAAACCUUGAGUUGCCUGAGGAUAAGGGAGCCCUGACAGUCUGCACCAGCUGAAGAUCAGUCCCUGGGUGUCUGAACCCUACAGGGAGUGUUUUUUUUCCAGUGAGCAAGAUGUUUGAGGGAACUGCAGGGAUUGUGAUCUGAGAAUACUGAGGGGAAGCAACAGCCAAGAUUCAAAUAAUAGUUCCUUUGGUGGCAGCUAACACAUUUCCUGACUGCAGUGCUGUCCAUGUAACUUGAAAAGAAUUCUGAAUGAGUCUGUGGUAGAAUAAACUAGUUAAUGAGAUCAUGGGAGAGGGCUUUUUUUUCCUUGAUGACCAACUGUUGUCUUGUCUGGUGGUAAUAAAUACACAACAACCACAAGUAAUGGAAGAGCUUAUAAUUGCCAGCAAUACUGGAUCCCAGGCUUUCUUUUCCAUGGGCCACACGGUAAUUCAGAGGAAGGACAGGCUGAAAGCAAAACACAGAUUUUCCCUUCCAGCAUGGCCUUUUGCAGCACUUCUGAAAAAAAAAAAAAAAAGGUCUUUGUAGAGUAUUUAUUUCAGUUAAUCUUUACAGACCAGUUAUACAACUCAGGAAAAGUAUGUGAAGGAAAAGAUAGGAUGCUUUCCAUAAGGAUGGCUGGGCUUGGUAGGAAGAUCUGCUUCUGAUUAACAUGUCAAGAAGGUACUGAGGUUGAAAGAGCAUUUUACUAGACACUUUUAAAGGAAACUGUUUAGAAAAAUGCCAUGUACUGACCUCUGAGAAAGAUCUCCAGACUCAGUGUUUCCUUCCAGUUCACUCUGAGGUUUCUACCUUUCUUCUGUCAUGCACUCACUCAAUAGCAAUAGUAAUAAUAGCAAUACUUUCUGUGCUGCAACACUCUCUACUUCAAAGCACUUCACAAACACUGGACUAGAUUCAGUCUGGUCUUCUAUGGCUAUAAACUUUCUGUUGAAACCCUGGCUCUGUUGUAGUGAAUGGCAAAUUUCCCACUGCCUUCAGUGGGGCUGAGAUUUCACUCACUCCUUGUCAAAGAAUUUGGGCAAAGCAAACCUUCUGAAAGAGGUUAAUGUGAUAGCUGAAAGGAGAUGAAACCUUUCUUCAUUUCAGGGAACACAUAAAUUCUCAAAAUGGAGGACAGGCAUAUUCAGACUGUUAGGGGAGUGACAAAGGGAAGAAAACCUAACCAAUUAUUCAUCUCACAGUGUCUCUUUUCUCUGAAGUCAAGCAUUAGGACAGUUCUCUGGUUUUGUUGUGUGCUCAAAUUUGUAAGUCUCUGGUAUUUAUAUAGAUAUGACUAUGGUUAAACAGCUACUUGACUUACUAACUUGGUUAUAGCUUACUGACUUGAUUACCUUAGUUUUCCAGUACUUUUGCUUAGCAUUGUCACUUGCACUUGUUCAUAUCAGAACAGGAGGGCUUUAUGCCCCUUUACACAGGGGCAGACUAGUCAGUAGUCAGAUCCUUGCUCACAUGCAUGCUCAAAUGUGUUUUACUUUUUUAACAUCUAAAACACUGCCAGUAUCUUGAAUAUUUUUAGUCAUUUUUAUCACAUUGCUCAGUGAAGACAGCCUUUAAAGUCUUUUUGGACCAAAGAUGAUACUGUAUGUUUUCAGAAGUAUAUUUAGAGGUUGUAAAUUGUUAAAUGUUUAUUUUGUAUGACUAAACAUUGCUUUUACAGUUUUGUGAGCCCAAAGAAAUUACUAACCAUAUUCAAGGCUGAAGAGGAAACAUAGCAUGGAAUAUCAAAACUGAACAGUGAGGAAGAUAUUAAGAAAUAAAAAUGCUUUAAAAAUUAGUUGAAACAUUGAGUGAUGGCAGCCAGCUAUAUUUGCUCCUUCAGAUCAGGGCUCUGAACCUGAAAUCCUUAUUCAGGGUAGAAUUUGUAUGAUGUUACCAUCUGCCUUUGCUUUUGAAUGAUCCUACUGAACAUUUCUACCCUCCUGGGGUAAAUAAACUCCAUCUGUCCAACAGUGUCUGUUACCUGAGCUGCUUUCAUUUUCAGCUUCCAGUUGGUACAUCCUGAAUAUGCCAAAGAGCAGUCCUGACAUCUUGGCCUUGUUUUUCUUUCUGCUCUUCCAUGUGUGUAUCUUAUUACAUGGAAGUAUGCUGAGGUAGUUUGCCAUGUAAAAAUGUGAAGAAAAUUGAAGGAAGACUUCAGAUUUUGGCCACAGUUGUUCUACAUUUUUUUCCCUAUGUAUAAGUCUUUACAGCACAGCCAGAAGAGAAUGUGGAAACAGCUGAAAAGUAAGUUGCUCUUCUCCUCCUUAGGUCUAAAGUCAUAAUUUCUCUGCGUACUUUGGAAAAGCUGCUUUCCAAAUAUGAGCUUCACAGAGUUACUGUGGCCUUGUAUAUGCAUUCUGUGCCUCAUCACUAGGAGCAGCUGAACUAGUUUAAAUUCUCAAAAGCAAUGAGAAAUUCACUAGAGACAAUAAAUCAUAGACAUCAUGAACUUCUGACUAGUGUGAAGUCAUUCAGAAAUAUAUUUCCCACCAGAUCUCUGCAGUCUGUGGUAUUCCCAUCAGGUGAUUAAUCCUCUGUCAGGGUGCAAAAGAAGACAAGGAAAUACAGCAGAUAAGGAAUACAACACUGAUUAUGCUUCCAGACUCUUUGGGUGAUAGAAACAGACUGCAAUUAGUUGCAAUGCCUUGCACUGUAUGCCUUUUAAGAAUUCUAAAUUAUGACUGAAGUGAUAAAGUGCUCUGCAGUAUAGAUGUGCGAAUGAAUGUAGGGGUGUGUAGGUGUAAAGAAUAAAAAAUAAAACCACUGCAUUAUCUUUCCUGACCAGCUGAAAAUACGUAUUUUUUUGGUAGUUAAAAAGUUUUCAUUUUUUAUUUUUAUUUUUUUUCCCUUUGGGCUGGGAAAGCAGUCCCUGUAGUGUAAGAGGAACACACAUUAUUUGAAAUUGUCUGUUACAGUGAUUACUGUCACUAUUGGCCUCUGAGUGUGCUUGCUCUCAUAGGAAAACUUGGCAGCACUGGAUGUUACCAGAUGCUCGAAGGCUGAGUAAAAGUGGAGAGGAGCACAGGUGUAUAAACCCAGGAGAAAGAACAACUCAGUGAACAGGAAUUAUGAUCAAAUACAAGAAAGAAGAGUGGGUUGGUGGUGUUUGAGUGAAAAAUGCAAUUUUUCUGUUGCAGAGCUUGAAGAGAUCUUUGACUGAAAUCAAAGAAUUAAAAGAGUGGAUGUCCUUAAACACUUUUUCCCUGAAGGAAAAUGUGGUGGUGAUUGCUGUUUGACCUGACUGGCACUGUCUGAAUGGGAAGGGGAAGGGAUGAUGUUUGGAGCUAUCAAUAAGGAUUCUGAUUAAAAUACUGCUUACCUCAAAGAAGCAAGGAAUGGAAGGUGGCAGAGUUAGCUGACUGGCUUUUAGAUUUGACUCCCUCUGGAGUCAACAGACAGAGUCUCUCUAGCAAUUCAGUUAUAUUGACAGAAGACAUGACCUUUCUGUGGUAUUCAGAGCAUUUACACUGUCUGACUGAUUCUACUUAUGUCAUCUGUUAUGGUGCAGUUUGGAGGAACCCAGGUUCCUCAUACUGCCAGCAUAGAGGAGGUACAUGUGAGUGCUCUAAGGAGAGGAUGAAACUGGCACAAAAGAAAUUCACCCUGAUACCAAGAGCAUCUUUGAAGCAAAUGCCUGCUGGAAGUUACAGUAUCAGUGCUUUGUCUUUAUUCCACUUGCACAUCCAUUUAACCUAUAUAUAAUGUUAUGUAUAUCCUCCUAAUGUGAAAUAUUUAACCUCUAAGAACCCUUUGUAGAUACAGCUUUGCCUUUUCAUUUCACACACCUAAACCUUCACUCAUAUUCAGACAUCCUAUACCCACACAACCUGUAUGGGGCAUCCACUUUUAAAUAAUAAGACACAUAAUUAGCCAUUAAUACACUAGAGGUUAAUGAGUAGGUAUAAUCUCAUUACCGUAAUGGGAGUUACAGGUGUAACUUGUAAGCAGCCCUAGGCUGCCAAAGAGUGCAAAGGAGUUACUGCUACCUUUAAAUAAAAGUUAAAUAAACAUGA